UACGGAGGGGGCUAGCGUUGUUCGGAAUUACUGGGCGUAAAGCGCACGUAGGCGGCUUUGUAAGUUAGAGGUGAAAGCCCGGAGCUCAACUCCGGAACUGCCUUUAAGACUGCAUCGCUUGAACAUCGGAGAGGUAAGUGGAAUUCCGAGUGUAGAGGUGAAAUUCGUAGAUAUUCGGAAGAACACCAGUGGCGAAGGCGACUUACUGGACGAUUGUUGACGCUGAGGUGCGAAAGCGUGGGGAGCAAACAGGAUUAGAAACCCGUGUAGUCC
This 273-nucleotide ribosomal RNA is filed under the name uncultured bacterium. RNAcentral describes it as "partial 16S ribosomal RNA". It matches the Rfam family "Bacterial small subunit ribosomal RNA", at positions 524 to 796 of the family's 1533-position model. The record is from RNAcentral.